UUGUAGUCUGCAACCCGACUACAUGAAGCUGGAAUCGCUAGUAAUCGCGGAUCAGAAUGCCGCGGUGAAUACGUUCCCGGGUCUUGUACACACCGCCCGUCACACCAUGGGAGUCGGAAAUGCCCGAAGUCUGUGACCCAACCUACGGGAGGGAGCAGCCGAAGGCAGGUCGGAUGACUGGGGUGAAGUCGUAACAAGGUACC
Molecule: ribosomal RNA, 203 nt
Filed under: uncultured bacterium
Lineage: Bacteria
Description: partial 16S ribosomal RNA
Rfam family: Bacterial small subunit ribosomal RNA
Source: RNAcentral